UUUUGAUCAAAAAUGUUAUCAUAUUUGUUGUUUUGACAUUGCAGGCAAAUUAAUAAUGCGAGUUUAAAUCGUGUUUUUUAACUUCACUUGACUGUAUUGGUGUAGUUUAAUGUUUACAUCAGUUAUCUGCUGCCACAUGGCUCAUCCCCUCUUAUUUUUACCUUACUUUCCUUUUAUCAUCCCCCUCUUGUCACCCACCCUCCCCGCCUCCCACCCCCUCUCACUCUGUCUUUCCGUAACCCCUCUGUUCCUCUUCUCUCCCGUUUCUGAGAGUCACUUGCCCACCCUAAAUCAGCAAGCUGCCGAGGAUUGUGGGAACCCAUGGAAUCGCCGUGACCAGGGAUGCAGGCAGGGAGCCACGGCAACGCUGGAAUGUGGGGCGUCUGAGGAGAUAAGAGCUGUGAGCCCAGCCAGGGAGAGGCGCGAAGUGGGGGAGGACGCAGAGGCAGAGUGAGGAGGGAUCACUUACUCUCAUCUGUCUAAUUUUCACAACCCCCGAUCAGACCACACACUCGGUUUGUAAUCCUCCCCAUUUCCUCCCGCGGGCGUUGAGGCCUCAACCGGCAAACUUUGCGCAGGCCGAUGAUGCAGAGGAUGACUCGCAGUUGUUACAGACCGGACAGCAGACCAGGGGAUGAGGGGCGCUGCGCGGCCCGCUGUUAGACAAAAACCAAGAGGGAUUAAUGCAGCGUCUGUUGGUCCCAUAUGCUCCUCAGGACUGCUUUGGUCUUGAUUAAAACUCAUUGUAGGCUGUGUAUGAAGUAUUGAAGUAUUGUGAAGGCCGGACGCCUAAUCCCUCUCAUGACUUGUGCACUUUGAAGACACGAGACUCCGGGGUCAGAAUAACAAGCGGAGAAAAGGAACCUUUCAGCUGCUAUUGGUUAAAUCACUCAGCAUUAAAUGCGAAAGUGACAAGUAUGUUUACGGUGUGUGUAUAUAUUUAUAUAUAAUUCUUCAUGUCAUGUGCGGACGCCUAAGUGUAAUUGUGGGACUCAUCAUGCCUUUUCAAGAAUGUACAUUUAUUCCGAUUGAGAUUGUUUCUGUCAUAAUGUUGUAGGUUCUUCACACUUUUUUAAGUGUCCUACACUUUUUUUGUGAUGUGCUGCUGUAUGAUUACAUUUAACAGGGUUACCAGCCUUUUGGUAGUCUCUGAAGGGAGUCAUCUUCAAACCUUUGCCAUGCUUCUUAUUCUCCAGUCCCCUUUCUUGCACCUUGUCUCGUUCUCUUACAGUUUUUCCCUCCUUGUCUGGCAUUUGAAAGUGACCCUGCAGUCUGAACCCCCUCCCUCCAUCCUCAGCAGACUCUAUGAAGGAGUUGUUGACGCAUCUCAUGAAUAUUCAGUCACCCACUAACCAAAGCUAUUGUUUCCGAGUUCAAUUGCUUCAUUGUUUAUGACCAUAACGAAAUACAUGUAUGUUGCUAAACCUGGCGGUGCACUGCGCGAACUUAGGCUGUAAUUUACUGUUGAAUAACGCUGCAAUCUGCGUGUGUAAUAGGCUAAAUUAAAAGGAGCAUCCAGCAGUGAGAACCCAUAAAUAAUCUGCUGUUUGUGCUUCAACCUUGAAUAAGUUAUACGGCCUGUUAUAUAAUUAAGUCUUUCUAAACUGCAGUUCAACCUCAUAAAACAAACACACACGCACACACACCUAUUUUCUGACCACGCAGGAGUGGAAUCAAAGUCGCUCUUCUCUUUAACGCUUCGAUUAUUUCAAGCAACGCUUUUAAUUAGUGUGAUCCUUUAGCGGAGACUCCAAUGAAAGAGAGAUUAUUGGCAAUGUCAAGGAUGCUAAUUGAAUGUUGGACUUCUAACAAUUAGCCCGCUGCACAACCAUGUCGAGUCAUUACAGAUCCCAUACCCGCUUUGACUUUGUCUGUCGUCUUAAAGAGUAACGUCGGACUUGAAAGUUGGAGCAAUAAAAAGUAAAUAACAACAAACCCUCUUUUAAAAGCAGCUUUCUCCUCUUGAGUCCUAAAAUGUAUUGAUUUCUUUUCCCCCUUUAGACAUAACCUCUCCUCUGCACUUAAUUAAACACACCGCGCAUGUGGGAAUAAAGUUACAGGAAUAUUGUGCGGAGUUUUUCUUGCCCUCUUUUUGAGCCAAUUUCUUACUUUUGUACAACUGCACUGCUAUAAGCACUUAUUAAACUGUAAACCCCACAACAGAGCAAACCAAAA
Long non-coding RNA from Astatotilapia calliptera (eastern happy), 2175 nucleotides. The record is from Ensembl. NCBI's taxonomy places the organism in Eukaryota, Metazoa, Chordata, Actinopteri, Cichliformes, Cichlidae.